RNAcentral lists this transfer RNA (85 nucleotides) under Felis catus (domestic cat). It matches the Rfam family "tRNA". Rfam says of the family: Transfer RNA (tRNA) molecules are approximately 80 nucleotides in length. Their secondary structure includes four short double-helical elements and three loops (D, anti-codon, and T loops). Lineage: Eukaryota; Metazoa; Chordata; Mammalia; Carnivora; Felidae. The record is from Rfam by way of RNAcentral.
GCCUGGGUGGCUCAGUCGGUUAAGCAUCUGACUUUAGCUCAGGUCAUGAUCUCGCGGUUCGUGGGUUCGAGCCCCAUGUCGGGCU